This 315-nucleotide unclassified non-coding RNA is filed under the name uncultured Tomentella. RNAcentral describes it as "sequence contains 5.8S rRNA gene". The stretch from base 1 to 53 matches the Rfam family "5.8S ribosomal RNA", at positions 102 to 154 of the family's 154-position model. The record is from RNAcentral. Lineage: Eukaryota; Fungi; Basidiomycota; Agaricomycetes; Thelephorales; Thelephoraceae.
GAACGCAUCUUGCGCUCCUUGGUAUUCUGAGGAGCAUGCCUGUUUGAGUGUCAUGAACACCUCAACUCUCGUGGCCUGCCACGAUGAGCUUGGACUUUGGGGGUCUUGCCGGCCUAGCGUCGGCUCCUCUCAAAUGGAUCAGCUUGCCAGUGUUUGGUGGCGUCACGGGUGUGAUAACUAUCUACGCUUGUGGUUUUCUACCAUGUAACCUUCAGUGAUGGAGGUUCGCCGGGGCUCACAGAUGUCUCUCCUUGGGGAGGACAGCUUUUUGAACGUUUGAUCUCAAAUCAGGUAGGACUACCCGCUGAACUUAAG